RNAcentral lists this long non-coding RNA (312 nucleotides) under Brassica napus (rape). RNAcentral's name for it is "long non-coding RNA (BNAP_LNC005961)". The record is from RNAcentral. Lineage: Eukaryota; Viridiplantae; Streptophyta; Magnoliopsida; Brassicales; Brassicaceae.
CAUACAAAACCAUAAAUCAAAUCUUUUUCAAACUUAAAAUCUAACCUUAAACUCCAUUUAAAAAAAUAUAUUGUAAAUCAUAAAUUAAACUUUAAACCUUAAAAUCCAAAUAUCAAACAUCAUUUCAUACUUCAAACCCUAUAUAGUAAACACAUUAAAAUUUAAUUUUUAAAACUAAUUCAUAAAUAUAAUUACUACUAGUUUAACACAAAAUCAUAAAUCUAAUCACUAUAAGUUAAAUAUAACAAAAAUAAAAUAUAUAAACCCAAAUGUUAAAUUUAAAUUCUAAACCCUAUAUCUAUACCCUAAAUC